This 54-nucleotide ribosomal RNA is filed under the name Sperata seenghala (giant river-catfish). RNAcentral describes it as "partial 5.8S ribosomal RNA". The record is from RNAcentral. Lineage: Eukaryota; Metazoa; Chordata; Actinopteri; Siluriformes; Bagridae.
ACGCUGGCCUCGCGCCCCCGAGAUCACUCCGGGGCUACGCCUGUCUGAGGGUCG